UUACUUACCUGGGCGGGGUCAAUGGGCGAUCAAAAAGGCUCAUGGCCUAGGCAUGUAGCCUCCAUUGCACUUUUGGAGGGAUGCUUGCCUAACAUCUUCCCAAAGAGGAAGAGUGUACGUCAUAAUUUGUGAUAGUGGGGGUCUGCGUUCGCGCAACCCCUAA
Non-coding RNA from Beta vulgaris subsp. vulgaris (sugar beet), 163 nucleotides. The record is from Rfam. NCBI's taxonomy places the organism in Eukaryota, Viridiplantae, Streptophyta, Magnoliopsida, Caryophyllales, Amaranthaceae.